CCCUCCUGCUCCACCCACAGCGCCCGCGGCUCCAUCCUCGGAUUCGGGGCGUCGCUGUCGAACCGCACGAACUGCGUGUCGUCCACGUAGCCGACGGUGAUGAAGCGGGGCUCCCCAAGGCCGGGCCGGGACACGGCGGCUUCAACAGAACCUAAACCCCAAACCUUCAGAUGUUCAAGCUGGAUUUAGAAGAGCCAGAGGAGCCAGAGAUCAAAGUGCCAACCUCCCCUGGAUCACGGAAUAAUCAAGAGAGAAAACAUCUACUUCUGCUUUAUGGACUAUGCCAAAGCGUUUGACUGUGUGGGUCAAAACAAACAGUGGAAAAUUCUUCAAGAGAUGGGAAUACCAGACCACCUCACCUGCCUUCUUGAGAAAACUGUGUGCAAGUCAAGAAGCUACAGUUAGAACUGGACUUGGAACAAAAGACUGGUUCCAAAUUGGGAAAGGAGGAUGUCAAGGCUGUAUACUGUCACCCUGCUCAUUUAACUUACAUGUAGAGUACAUCAUGUGACAUGCUGGGCUGGAUGAAGCACAAGCUGGAAUAAAGAUGGCCAGGAGAAAUAUCAAUAACCUCAGAAUGCAGAUGACACCACCCUUAUGGCAGAAAGCAAAAAGGAGCUAAAGAGCCUCUUGAUGAAAGUGUAAGAGAAGAGGGAAAAGUUGGCUUCCAGCUCAACAUUCAGAAAACUAAGAUCAUGGCAUCUGGUCCCAUUGCUUCAUGACAAAUAGAUGGGGAAACAAUAGACAGUGACAGACUUUAUUUUCUUGGACUGCAAAAUCACUGCAGAUGGUGACUGCAGCCAUGAAAUGAAAAGAUGCUGGCUACUUGGAAGAAAAGCUACAACCAACCUAGACAACAUAUUAAAAAGCAGAGACAUUACUUUGCCAACAAAGGUCCAUCUAGACAAAGCCAUGUAUUUUCCAGUAGUCAGGUAUGGAUAUAACAGAUGGACUGUAAAGAAAGCUGGGCACUGAAGAAUUGAUGCUUUUGAACUGUGGUGUUGGAGAAGACUCUUGAGAGUCCCUUGGACUGCAAAGAGAUCAAACCAGUCGAUCUGAAAGGAAAUCAGUCCUGAAUAUUCAUUGGAAGGAGUGAUGCUGAAGCUGAAGCUCCAAUACUUUGGCCACCUGAUGUAAAGAACUGACUCAUUGAAGAAGACUCCUAUGCUGGGCAAGAUUGAAGGCAGGAGGAGAAGGGGAUGACAGAGGAUAAGAUGGUUGGAUGACAUCGCUGACUCGAUGGACAUAUGACAUGACUCAAAUACACGUGAAAGAAGGGAAAAGAGACAGCAGAGCUGAGACAGCAGGGACCACUGUGCCAAAUACACUGGCCCAAGAGCCUGGAAAAGAGACCUGUCCGGCUGCCGGCCAUGAAGAUGCUUCCUGGAGAUCAAAGGACAGGAUGUGAACUGGAGCCUGGAGGCCACAAGGGUGACAAGGAGAUCAACCAUGAGUCUGGGCCGUGGGUCCCCCUAACAUUUUCCUGAGACAUGAAAGCGACAUUCCCCCUCCCCAGACAUACAACACCAUACCAAGGACACCAAGGGUGGACCCUCCGGUCCAAGCAUCACCCUCCCCACCCUCUGAAACCUUCAGGGUGCCUUCUUCUCCUCCCAGUUCUAAGAGCCGAGGACCCUAGCCUCCUGACUCUUCAUCCCCUUCAUGGACUUAAUAGAGAGAGACCUGCUGUCUGGAUCCCUCAGGCCUGAUCCCUCCACCUCCAAACCAUGAAAUGAAAAGGUUCUGAGCUCCUGUACCCAAAUCUAAUUUCUGGCUCCGAGAAUGACCCAGGGUUUGGGGUCAUGGGUCCCAGAGGGGAGGCUUCCCAGGGCCCCACAGGCCACAGCUGAACCAGGCCUCCAGUUGCGUAGAUUCAGCUGGUUCUGGCGAAAGCCCGAAAAAAAAAAUAUAGAACAAAUCGCUGCAGGAGUCUUCUUAGCCCAAAUAAGUGUGGAGUCUGGGCCGUGUGCGGGGAAUUUGCCUUUUUUGGAGGUCCUGCGCCGCAGCAGGCAGCGCUCCUCCCGCUGCAGAAUCCCCCUCUCCCAGAUCUUGGUCAGACCCCGAGACCGAGACCGUAAGAGCUGCGGACUGCUUGAGUUCCUAAGGCCCCUACCAUCUGAGCCUGAGAAAAUCAGGCCGGGCUGGUCGGUAAAGACCCUGAAGCCAGGAGUGGACGCUGAUUGGCUUCUAGAAACCGGAUACGCAAUGGGAGUGAGAACUGGGACCUCGUCAUGAGUAUCCGGGCAGGAAGACCCGACACAGUUUGGGCGGCGAGCAAGAGAAACCCCAGGGAGGUGGGGAAUCCCUUGAGGUUUGACUCCCCCGUCCAGACAUCACCUUCUGGCCUAAGACCCUGAGAGCCUUGCCCAGGGACCUGGGACUUUGCCCUGACCACUCUCCUACCGCCUGGAGGACCCUGAAAACUUGACCUAUCAGUUGAGUCUAUGAAUCCACCAAGAUAGCUACUGCCAAACACACCUCUGGCUCCAUAAAGACAGAGCAGCGAGGACAAGAGACUCAUGACUGCCAUAAUGCCUGUCAUCUGAGAGCUUUCAGAAACCCAGCAGGACCGUCCGGCUGAGGCAGAGCUGGGAAUGAGGAAAAGGAACAAAGGCUAAAUGAAAAAGCCUGGGGCUGUGCCAGGAGGCCUUCUCUCAGGGUCUCAGCCCACACUGCUCUGGUUUCGGGAAGACCAGGAAUUGAACUCAGGCUGAGGGCAGUGAAAGCACAGAGUCCUACCCACUGGACCACAAGGGAAUUCUUGACAGACUGAUAGGCUUUUCAAUCCAGAACUUCUUCCAGCGGUAUCUAGAGAUAAUGAAGUCACACAGACAGCAGGAAACCAUCACUAACAAGCAUGGACAACAACUUGAUGAAGAAAUGUGCUUUACAAAAUGUGAGGGAAGUGCAGCCAGGAGAGGCGGCUGGGAACCAAACAGGAAUAAAAAGAACAAAAGGACACUGGGUCUUAGCAACAAAUGUGUGUUUUAAACUUUUUCAAAUACUCUGCCAUAAUCAAUUUUUCAAUUCUCCCUAUCCUCUUAGCAUCCUAAGUUCCAAGACAAUAAUUUUUCUAGGAUGUUCUAUGGAAUACCUUUCAUAUUACACUUUCUAGAGGAACCUCUCUUCUUCCAAAUAACCCCUUUCAGCCCUUACCAAAUUUCAAUAAGUUUUGGUGAUAGAAAGAAAAAACAAAGGAACACCUAAGUGGUUAAAAAAAUAAAGCAAGCAGCACUUACCUGCUUGUUAUGUCACUUGGGUCCUAGAAAGGAAGAGAAGACAGACUGUCAUGGAAAUAAGGUUCCCAGGAGCUGACACCAUUCCUUACGAUGAGCUCGCUGGGAAUAGGUACACAAUAGGACUGUACAGAGAAUUUUCUGGUGGGCUUGGACCUGUGCUAUUCUCCACUGUCGUAUCAGUUUGUGAGGACACAUGUUUCCCCUUCCUUUCCUCCAUUUGAGUCUAGAAUAUCCUCUCCAGGAAAACUUUCUUGAUCUGUUAAGACUUCUACUGUCUAUCAGAUUAAGACUGAAAUCUCAGAAUGCCUUUGAAGGCCUCUACUCAGCUGGCUCCAUCUUACCUAGCCCAUCUUCCCUUUAAUUUCUUCCUCACUUAGGCUGACUCCUCCAGAAAGGUGGCCCCUUUCACUCUAUGUAUCCUUCCUAUCUUCCAAACUCUCUUCCUCAGCACCUGCGGUCUUCCCAGGUGGCUCAAUGGUAGAGAAUCCUCUCGUCAGUGCAACAGCCACAGGAGACUCAGGUUCGAUCCCUGGGUCAGGAAGAUCCCCUGGAGGAGGAAAUGGCUAACCCAGUCUAGUAUUCUUGCCUGGAAAACCCCAUGAACAGAGGAGACUGGCGGGCUACAGCCCCUGGGGUCGCAGAGAGUCGGAAAGGACUGACAUGCAUGCUGCACCUACACCCACCUUUUUAUUAUCACACAUUAAGUUUAUUAUCACAUUCAUGUGUUUCAUUUUAACCAAUGUACCUCCACAAAUGGAAUGUUCAACUCCUCUUUCCUGCUAACCCAAAUCUUUACAUUUUCCUCAAGGCUACCAUUACAAGCUGCUUCAUCCAUGAAGCUUUUCCUGACUAGCCUUUUCCAGAAUUCCUGUGGCUUCCAGUCUGAUUAUAAGAUUUAAAACUCAAUUAUUUCUUAUAAUUAUAAAUGUACAUGUAUGGAUGUAAGAGUUGGACCAUAAAGAGAGUUGAGCGUCAAAGAAUUGAUCUUUGAACUGUGGUGUUGGAGAAGACUCUUGAGGGUCCCUUGGACUGCAAGGAGAUCAAACCAGUCCAUCCUAAAGGAGAUUAGUCCUGAACAUUCAUUGGAAGGACUGAUGCUGAAGCUGAAGCUCUAAUACUCUGACCACCUGAUGCAAAGAACUGACUCAUUGGAAAAGCCCCUGAUGCUGGGAAAGAUUGAAGGCAGGAGGAGAAGGGGACAGCAGAGGAUGAGAUGGUUGGAUGGCACGACCAACUCAAUGGACAUGAGUUUGAACAAGCUCCGGGAGUUGGUGAUUGACAGGGAAGCCUGGCGUGCUGCAGUCCAUGGGGUUGCAAAGAGUUGGACAUGACUGAGUAACUGAACUGAAUUGACUGACAGAUCUUACUAUCUCAGUGCAUAUUGCAUAUCUGUGCAUAUUGCAGUCUCCUGCCCACUGUGAUUUGGGACUUACAACCUAUCGGUUUGCUCAUUAACUUGUCAAUGAACUCAACAAAGGAGAACAAAACCUUGUCUCUCCUGACUCCUGGUCCAGAUCUCAUGCUAAUGGAGGGGCCAGACUGCAGCCUGGAGCAAGAGGACUUGGGUACAAUUUAACUGGUCCAUCACCUGCAAAAGUUCAAGUGCUGGCUGCUGAGCCUUCUUCUCUAGCUCAGAAAUCAGGGUCUUCAGCCGGAUGACCUCCUCAGAGCCCUUGGUGACAUGGCUGUUCCUCCCUUCAGUGAGCUGUUGCUCCAUUCCCUCCAGCCACUCCAACAGGUGCUGCUCCCUUUCUCUCAGGAACUGAUAGCCCUGCUCAAACACUGAUGCUAUGUCUUGCUUGUGGUUCUGGAAUUUUGCCUACAGUAAAGGCAGAAAGACAAAGAGGAUUUCUCCUGAGAGACUGGAAACAUUUGUGAGAUCUGAGGAUAAGUUCAGAACAAGAAUCCCUUCUAUCACACCCACUUUCUCCUCAUCCCUCAUUAUGCCCCCUCCCCUCAACCUACACACGCACACACACACACACACACACACACACACACACUCUCUCUCUCUCUCUCUCCCACCCAACACAGGUACACAGAACAUUCACCCGAAAUGUCUCGUACCAACAGGGCCUGAAUCUCAUCUUCUCCUGUAGAUUGAAAAUUCUGAAUCCUGUCCUGGUCUCCCUUCAGAAUCUUCAGAUGGUUUAGAAUUCUACCCUAUGGGGGGAAAAAAAAACCAUGAAUAAUCUCAAGAUGAAGAUGAAAAUGCCUUCAAUAAGAAAAGACACCUGAAAAAUGAUUUCAGAGUGAAAUCAGAUAGUCUUGAUCUUAUGUAGUGUUAUAAGAUAACUAGGUUGGAAUAGUUUUCAUCCUAGUUAAUGAUGAAGAAACAAAGUGAGUGCUAUGUUAGCUUAGAGUAGCUUCUCAGAAGUGAGAUAAAAUGCAUGUUAAACUUAUACUGUACUGUAUGUCAAUUACAUCUCAAUAAAACUGGGAGAAAAAUAAGUGAGAUAAAAUUUAUUAUCAUUACAACUA
Molecule: long non-coding RNA, 5720 nt
Organism: Dama dama (fallow deer)
Lineage: Eukaryota; Metazoa; Chordata; Mammalia; Artiodactyla; Cervidae
Exons: 9
Source: RefSeq, a predicted model, not a curated record